Long non-coding RNA from Felis catus (domestic cat), 3075 nucleotides. RefSeq lists it as uncharacterized. NCBI's taxonomy places the organism in Eukaryota, Metazoa, Chordata, Mammalia, Carnivora, Felidae. The transcript has 9 exons. The record is from RefSeq and is a predicted model, not a curated record.
AAAUGGGUACGGCUAUGGGUGCAAAUCCAAGUGAAGAGCUACACUGACAGCCUAAAGAAGCACAUCGGAUGGAAAGAACAGUAGGGAAACGGGAAAACUGAGGGUUUGCUGGAAGUCCAAAAGCCUGUUAUUUCCACUGGGGAAACACAGGCAAGAUAAUAAGAGGUUUCACGACGUAGGCCUUCAAGGGCCAGGGGAGGCUGAUCCAAGUGCAGUCAAAACAAAGCCUCCUGGGCUACCUGAGCCGACCGGUCGAGAUACCCAAUCUCCCAGCCGUCAUCCUCGCUCUCACUACUCUCGCCUCCACCGGCCACAGCCAGACCGCGCACAGGGCCAGCCGCCAUGCCCGCCAGCCUCUCCGAACACGCACAGCUGUAUCCGCCCCCUCAGCGGGCGCCUGCGCACUGGGGAAACACGCAGGGUUGCGUGGGAAGGCGUGCGUGUGAGCUCACAGGCUUUGGGCCCUGAGGCGCAGAUGCGCGGGCAUGCGUAGCACCCCUCGCCUCCUCGGACCCGCCCACCAGCCCUGUGUUCACUGGGGGAAAACCCACUGCCCAACGUGGUAGAGUUGGAACUGGGUGCCUGAACCGGCUGGGUAUUUGGUCGAUGAAGUUUUGCCCUUAAAGGGAUGCCGUACUUUCGGUGGAGCAUAAUGGGAGCUAUAAAGCCAGGAAAGUAGAUCCAUCAAGGAAUAUGGCACAUUUGUGACACCCUUGAGAUGAUUUAAAAGGAAAAUAGCCAUAUACUGUUCUUUAAAAGUCUUUGUGAUAUAGUUUUUUCCGUAAAGAAUCUCCAGUGUACGAUUUUGAAAUUAUAUACUUCAGAGACUUUCAUAGGCUCCUGCAAUCCUUGUAUUUUGCACCCUGGACACCACACUUACUUCCCCUUCAUCCUUGCCCUGAUUGGACCAGAAAGGAGGCCUGAGGCUGGACCAUCAUGAAGGAAGGAGUGUAUAAUAAGAAGACCUUAUGGGACUUAAAAUUUUCAGCUUCCAGACUGUUGAGAUCUUUAUGGAUUGGAAUUCACUGAGCUUCAUUCUCAGCAUUGAUGAGGGCAGGUGAGAAAGAAGAAAAAAGCAUCUCUGUCUUGAUUCAAACUAAACACUUCUCUGAAAUAUUUACAAAGCAGUGUGCGUCACGUGAGGCCUGGGCCAAAGGACCCUCUGACUUUCUGUGUAAGAGGCCCCUUACACAUGGUGGACACCUGAUAAAUAUUCACUGAAGCCUUGGAACAUUGGUUUGAGCACUGGCCUCAAUUUUUGGAUGAGAGUUGCCCCCAUCAACUGGGAAGGGUAAGAAGAAGGUUUUGGCAAUUGUGAAUAAAACUACUAUAAACAUUUGCAUGGAUAUUUUUGUGUGGACUGAAGUUUUCCAGUCAGUUGGGUAAAUACCUUGAAGUGUGAUUGCUAGAUUAUAUAGUAAGACUAUGUUUAGCUUUGUAAGACAAUGCCAAAUAUUUCAGUGUGGCCGUACCACUUUGCAUUCCCACCAGCAAUCGUCACCAGUGAUUGGUGUUGUCAGUUUUUUUGGAUUUUAGCCAUUCUAAAGGGUGAGAAGUGGUAUAUCAUGGUUGUUUUCAUUUGCAAUUCCCUAAUGACAAAUGAUGAUGAGCAUCUUUUCAUAUGCUUAUUGGCCAUCUGUAUAUCUUCUUUAGUGUAGUAUUGCUCAGAUGUUUGGCUUAGUUUUUAAAAGGGUUGUUGUUUUCUUAUUGUUGAGCUUUAUUUUCUCUUUCUUUUGAAGGAAGUAAAUAAAUAAAAACUAAAUAUGGUUGAGGAGAUGUGCAUUUAAAAAGCCAUAAAGAAUUAUCCCAUACACACUUCAUGUUUUCUUGUAAAAAAAAAAAAAAUCAUGGAAGGACCAGUUCAGUCUUCAGGAAAUCACUAAUGUGAGGAUGUGAAAUUUGAAAUGUGUGUGCGCGCACGCACACACACACACAUACACACCAUCACUUAUUGAGCUCUUACUCUAUGUCUUAUUCUAUGUCAGGCAUGCAUUUUUUCCUUACAUGAACUCAUUUAAUUCUCACAACAAUCCUAUGUAAUGGAAACUCUUGUUUCCCCCAUUUUACAAAUGAGCUCCGCUCCCAGCAGAGGAGCUCUAACCCUGUGCCAUGCUGUCUGAUAGACAAUAAAUUUUAAAAUGAGACAGUCUAAGGUUUGUUUUCUUACAUAGCCAAGCGAAAGUAUAUUUUAAAAUUAAGUAUGAAUGAAAAAAAGAAAAAAUAAAUUAAGUAUGCAUGAACAUAGAAACAGAUUGCAGAAAUAGUCCAUUUUUCUUGAAUUAUUCAGAUUGUUACAAGCCUCAAAUUUGUUUGGGUUUGUGUGUGAAUACAUUCAGAUGAUUGAAUAGAGGUCUACACUUUUUCUCCGAUCCUUAAAUCUAAAUUUAUUUUGCAUAAUUUUUUUUAAUCUUCGCUUUCUCAAAAGCAAGGAAGAUACGACAUGAAUAAUCUGAUGGGCUCUUUUUCCCUACUCUGUUUUGGACCAGAAAAAUAAUUUCCAAGAGUCAUUUGCCUUAUUAUUUAAUAGGUGUUAACAAAAAGAAUUCCUAAGAACAAGUAGAAUCACGAGCAAAGCGGGUCUUGAAAAAUAUAGCAGUGUAGUUACAGCUGGUGGCUGGCUCUGAGCCUGGCCAUGAGCCUGCAGCGUGGGACUGGGUGUUCCACUGCCUGGCUGUGCUCCAAGGAGCUGUCAGUUGCCGGGUUCCCACAGUGCCAAGCACUAGCAGGUGCAGAAAGGUUCAAGGUUUCUAUUCCCCCGUAGUGUUGAGGGCAUGCAGGUCAUCUGACAGUAACAAGAUGAAGCACCCCUGUGGGCCCUGAGGGGCAUGAGGAGUGGAGCUCCUGCUCAGCCUUGGGGAUUUGACAUUUGUCAAAUUGUGCGAGAACCUGCUGGGCUCCUCAUAUGCCUCUGCCUGGCCUCUGAGAGGAGUGAGGAGUUUGCAGAGUCUUCUGGAGAAACAGAGGACUGAGACACUCCCAUUUUGGAGGCUUCUAGUGUUUGUUUGUUUGUUAAUAUUUAUUUAUUUACUUUUGAGAGAGAGAGAGAGAAAGAGAGAGAGCCGGAAGGCACACACA